UUUAAUUAAUUUUAAAAAGGUGUGUUAUUAUUAAUAUUAAUAUUUUAACUGUGAAGGGGAUAUAUCAGUUAAUUUUUGAAAUAGAAAAAUAAUAAUUUGUACCUUUUGUAUCAGGGUUUAUUUAACUUUUUUUUGUAUAAAAGUUUCUCGAAAAGAAAAGAUUUAAAUUAAUUUUUAGCUAAUUGUUGUAUAAUUUAUUAAUAAAUUUCUUUAGAUUUGAUAUGUAUGUCGAUUUUUUAUAUCUAGUUAUUUAUUUUUUUAAUUUAAUUAAUUAAAUUUUAGAUUUUUUAAAAUUGUGUAAGUGUAUGGGGAUAAGCUUAUAUGAAUUUUUAAAGUAUUAAAAUAUUAAUUUAAAAAUGUAAUUUUAAAAUUGGUUUUCACGAUAGUUUUUAAAAAAAAAUUAAAUUAAUUUAUAUUUUAUUAUUGCUUUUUUUAUUUAAAAUAAAUUAUAGAUUAAAAUUUUUAGAAUUUAAAAAAAAUGAUAAAAUAAGUAAAUUAUAAAAAUAAUUAUUAAGAAUUCUGCAAUAAUAGUUUUUGCCUGUUUAUCAAAAACAUGUCUAAAAGUUACAUAUUUUUAGUCUAACCUGCUCUAUGCAAUAUAGUCAAUAGCUGCAGUAUUUUGACUGUACAAAGGUAGCAUAAUCAUUAGUUUUUUAAUUAAAAGCUUGAAUGAAUGGUUGAACAUAAAACUAACUUUUUUAUUUUUAUGAAAUUUAAUUUAAUUUUUAUGUAAAAAAGCGUAAAUAAAUUAAAGGGACGAGAAGACCCUAUAGAAUUUAAAACAAAUAAAUUGAUACAGUGUUUUUUAUUGGGGUGAUAGGAAAUAAACUUUUCUUUUUUGUUCAUAGAUGUAUGAUUAAUAGAUCCUGAUAUUUAGAUUUUAAGAUAAAAUUACCUUAGGGAUAACAGCAUAAUUUUUUUUGAAAGAUCAUAUUAAUAAAAAAGAUUAUGACCUCGAUGUUGAAUUAAGAAAUAAAAAGGUGUAGGCGUUUUUUUAUUUAGUCUGUUCGACUUAUUCAAUUUUACAUGAUUUGAGUUCAAACCGGCGUGAGCCAGGUUGGUUUCUAUCUUUUAUUUUUUUUUAUUUUAGUACGAAAGGAUUUGAUAAAAUCAUUAUUUAUGAUAAUAUUAGAACAUUAGUU
This 1142-nucleotide ribosomal RNA is filed under the name Allocarsidara bakeri. RNAcentral's name for it is "16S ribosomal RNA". Lineage: Eukaryota; Metazoa; Arthropoda; Insecta; Hemiptera; Carsidaridae. The record is from RNAcentral.